UACCAGCUGAGGAGCUCCGAAUAGGACGAAACGCGCGUCCUGGUU
This is a non-coding RNA of Schistosoma haematobium, 45 nucleotides long. The record is from Rfam. Lineage: Eukaryota; Metazoa; Platyhelminthes; Trematoda; Strigeidida; Schistosomatidae.